This 467-nucleotide ribosomal RNA is filed under the name uncultured bacterium. RNAcentral describes it as "bacterial SSU rRNA". It matches the Rfam family "Bacterial small subunit ribosomal RNA", at positions 32 to 507 of the family's 1533-position model. The record is from RNAcentral.
AAUCAACGCUGGCGGCGUGCCUCAGACAUGCAAGUCGAACGAUUAAAGCUCUCUUCGGAGAGUGCAUAGAGUGGCGCACGGGUGAGUAACACGUAAGUAAUCUACCUUCGAGUGGGGAAUAACGUCCGGAAACGGGCGCUAAUACCGCAUAAUGCAGCGGCAUCGCAAGAUGACAGUUGUUAAAGGAGCAAUCCGCUUGAAGAGGAGCUUGCGGCAGAUUAGCUAGUUGGUAGGGUAAUGGCCUACCAAGGCCACGAUCUGUAACCGGUCUUAGAGGACGGUCGGUCACACUGACACUGAAUAACGGGUCAGACUCCUACGGGAGGCAGCAGUCGGGAAUUUUGGGCAAUGGGGGAAACCCUGACCCAGCAACGCCGCGUGAAGGAUGAAGUAUUUCGGUAUGUAAACUUCGAAAGAAUAGGAAGAAUUAAUGACGGUACUAUUUAUAAGGUCCGGCUAACUACGUG